AGAAGAAAAAGGAAAAGAAGAAGAAGAAGCAAAAACAGGUCGGUGGCAUGUUGGAACUCUUUUCCCCUAUCAAGUGUCUUCUUCAGGAGGAACGAAUUCGGAUCGACAACGUUGUGUUCAGGUUACAUUCACGCGCAACGGUUCUCCUAUUUCUCGUCUGUGCUACGCUCGUAACCGCUAAACAGUUCAUAGGCGAACCAAUUAGCUGCAUCUCCGAUCACAGCAUAGACAGAACGACGUUAAACGCAUACUGCUGGAUAUAUAGUACCUUCACAGUGGCACGUCACUUAAAGGGAAUACCAGGUCGAACUGUGGCAAGUCCAGGAAUAGGAAAUGCAUCUCAGGACGACGAAUUAUACUAUCAUCGUUAUUACCAGUGGGUUUGCUUUAUUCUCGGCUUACAAGCGAUUCUCUUUUACGUGCCGCGAGCGUUAUGGGGAAUAUGGGAAAGGGAUACCGUCGCUUUGCUCGCGAGGGACCUUUCCACUUCGUUUCUGGAUCGAGAUGCUUGGACCGAGAAUAGAAAGCGUCAACUAGUCGACUAUUUUAUUGAAGGUGAUCUUCGAAUGACGCACAAUUUCUACGCUCUUCGUUAUUUCCUCUGCGAAGUUUUUAAUUUUCUCAAUACGAUAGGACAAUUAUAUCUAUUGGAUCUAUUCUUCGAGGGUGAAUUUAGACAUUACGGAGUCGCAGUUUUAGCAUUUUCCAAGGAAAAACAAUACUCCGAUAAGAUAGAUCCAAUGACCCGACUCUUUCCCAAGGUCACCAAGUGCACGAUGCACACCUUCGGCUCAGCCGGCUCGACCCAAAUUCACGACGCUCUUUGCGUUCUCUCGUUGAACGUGAUGAACGAAAAGGUCUUCUUCUUUAUUUGGUUCUGGCUGAUAUUUCUAACGAUUCUCGGCUUUUUUGCUCUCUUUUACAGGAUCAUUGUUUUCUCUCAAGCGAGGGUAAGAGUCUAUCUUUUGCGAGCUUCGAUGAGGACCCUUGCGCAUGCCAAAGCAAAUACCAUAGUUCGAGUGCUUACUUUUGGCGAUUGCUUUCUCCUCCAUCGACUCGCACAGAACGUGAGCCCGAUCAUAUACAGGGAACUAAUCGACGAGUUGGCAAUCAGCCUAUCGACGAAGCAUUUCAAAGGAUUAGUCUAAUUCUACGAAUUUAUCUAUUUAAUCGAUUUAAUAUACAAGUAUAUAUGUGUGUGUGUGUGUAUGUAUGUAUGUAGAUAUAUAUCAUUCGAUCGAAAAAGAUCAUUUGAAUCGUUUAAAACAAAAUCGAUUCUCGAUGAUAAGAGAACUUCAAUUUUUAGAUAACGUUUCUAUAUAUCUCUUCGUACUAAGAAUUAUUAACGAGUAUUCCGAUAAAUUAUUUAAAAAUAUUUUAUUGAUUCUCCUAAUUUUAUCUCAUUGGAUUUUUCAAUCUAAAUGCGCGCAUUAAAAGUUACGUAGAAUUGACUUAUCGUUCGUACUUAUGUAUACAGUAUGUAUGUAUACGAUUUAUAUAUUUACAUUCGAUUAUUUUUCUGAAUAGUAAAUACACGAAAAAAUUUUUUUACACGAAUGUUACAUGUUACAUGUCAAAAGAGAGAAAAAAGUGAAGGAGGGCGGACGUCGCGUUUACAUUUUUAAAUAAAACCCAAUAUCCCUUAUUAAACAUUCUUGUAACUGACAUUAAACUAAUUUCAAAAUGCUUCGUACACAUAUAUUUUGCAUACCUACACAGUUCAGAAGCACACAAAGCGCUGUAUACAUCGGAUAACUGCUGUUAAGGGACUCACAAAAUUUAAUACUUAAUAACUCAACGAUGGCUUAUGUCCAUGCAAAACAAUAAAUGUGCUGGUCAAAGCAUUUUCAAAAUCAAUACUGAGAUAUCAGCUUCAAGAAUACAUAAUAUUGGAUUAUAUUCAAAAACGUGACUUUUAAACGAAAGCUCUCUAAGCUCUUUAAAUCGCAAAAUUAAAUAAUUAUCUGUGUCUCCGUUGACGCGAUACAACGCUCAUCUGUAACACUUUUUUGCAUUUUUAAUAUUUACGGCAAAUUGUUGCGGGUAUAUAUUAUAUUUAAAUCGGAUAUAUUCUGUAUGUAUAUAUAUAUAUAUAUAUAU
RNA transcript from Vespula pensylvanica (western yellowjacket), 2100 nucleotides. It is a transcript of the gene named innexin inx2-like, with no coding region annotated. Lineage: Eukaryota; Metazoa; Arthropoda; Insecta; Hymenoptera; Vespidae. The record is from RefSeq and is a predicted model, not a curated record. The transcript is spliced from 6 exons.